Long non-coding RNA from Acinonyx jubatus (cheetah), 3480 nucleotides. RefSeq lists it as uncharacterized. NCBI's taxonomy places the organism in Eukaryota, Metazoa, Chordata, Mammalia, Carnivora, Felidae. The transcript is spliced from 3 exons. The record is from RefSeq and is a predicted model, not a curated record.
UGCUUUUGUUUUUAAUUUUUUUAAGUGUAUCUGUUUAUUUCCAGAGAGACAGAGAUAGUGCAAGUGGGAGAGGGGCAGAGAGAGGGAGAGAGAGAGAAUCCCAAGUAGGCUCCGCACUGUCAACUCAAGAAACCACGAGAUCAUGACCUGAGCCGAAACCAAGGUCAGACUGUUAACCGACUGAGCUGCCCAGGCGCCUCGUGGUUGACAUUUUUGAAAGUGACAGCCUGUCACCUCAGGCUUCACUACGGUAUCGCCUAAGGAUAGGUGGAGGGUUGGGUGAUCUACUCAAGUCCCUUGGGAGUGCAAUGAAAGAGUUUCUAUUGCCAGAGCUCCUGGAAUCCUGGAGAAGGAGUGAGGGCAUACCCAUUCACUUUUUUUGCGGAUAUAAUAACGACGCAUUUGAGUUCCGAGGGCUGGAUUGGAUUCCUCGUCAAGAAAACUUUUAGCUUCAUAAAACACUGCCCUUCCCUUCCAUUUCUUCCCAUUCGACUCCAAUGACAGAAUUCAUAAUUUUCAGGAUGUAGAAGGCAGUAGUUUCCUUAGACAAAAGCGAAGCAGUCCAAUUUCCCAGCCGUUUACAAGAGCAAACACUCCUUUGGCCUUCCCGCCCUCAAGGAAGGGCACCGUGUGUCCCCAAAAAGGUCUGUUCAUGGCGCUCUUGGUACCUUGUGACCUGUGUGAGUGGCCUUUUUUUUUUUCCCUCCAACACAGAAUCGAACUGGCCCGUCUUAUGUGUUUGCGGAUGAAGAAACUCCAGGGUCGGAUUCAUCACACUGUAUUUGCCUUCAGAGGAGUUACCCCGUUGGCUGAUUCCUGAGAGCAUCCAGUGCAGUCACUGUGGGCUAGGGUUUUGCCUGCAUCGAAAUAUAAAGACGGUCAAUAGCCAGGACGGGAGAGAUUCAGAUGCAUUCAAUAACGUUCAGAAAAGACCCUGGGAAGAUAUAUCACUCCACUGCCUUCUGGAAUCAACUGUUGUGGAUGAGGAGUCAGCUGAGAAUGUAAUCGUCAUUCCUUUGUGGGUAAUCUGUAUUUUCUUUCUGGUAACCUAAAGAUUUUUUUUUUCUUCGUCUGUCUGCAUUUCAGUAGGAUGUGCACAGAUGUGUAUUUAUUUUCGUUGACGCUGGAUUUGGUACAUCUCUCAGCAAAUCUGGAAAAUGCUCAGCCAUUAUCUUUCUAAAUAUCUCUGCUCUGCUACUUGCUUAAUUCUACACUUUCAACAUCCCUAUUAGACAUAUUUUGGAGCCCAUCCAUUUAUCCUCCAUGUUUUGAAACUAUGGCUUAAUGAAAAAAAAAAUUUUUUUAAUCUCUCUAUGAUGCAUUUUUUGUUGAAUUCUGAGCAGUAUCUUCCAAUUCACUAAUUCUUGCUAAAUCCAUCCAUCCUGGAGUUUGUCUCAUUUACUGACUUACAAUUUUUAGUGGCCAUAUUUUUCAUUUCCAACAUUUCUAGCAGACAUUUUUCAAAUAUACAUUUUAUAACUGCGUGUGGGGCUCCUGGCUGGCUCAGUUGGUAGAGGGCGUGACUCUUGAUCUCGGGGUUGUGAGUUGGAGCCCCACGUUGGGUAUCAAGAUUACUUUUAAAAAGUAACCGUUUGUACCCCCCCCCCCAGAACUUUUUGUUUUACUCUCAAUUAGAUGUUUGCUUUUUUCCCCAGCUUUUCUUGAGAUAUAAUUGACAUAUACCAUUGUGUAAGCUCCAGGCGUAACAUGUGUUGAUACGGUACAUUUGUAUCUUGCAAUAUGAUUACGACUGUAGCUUUCCAUUACAUUACCAAAUUACCAUUUCUUUUUUUUUUUUUUAAGUUCAUUUAUUUAUUUUGAGAGAGAGCGCACAGGGGAGGGGCCGAGGGAGAGAGAGGGAGACAGAGACGCACAAAUAGGCUCGGGGCUGUCAGCACAAAGCCCAACACGGGGCUCGGACCUGUGAACUGUGAACUGUGGAACCGUGACAUCAUGACCUGAGUAGAAGCUGGACGCUUAACCGACUGAGCCAUCCCAAGUUACCAUUUCUUUUUUGUGGUAAGAACAUUUAAUAUUGACUCCUUGAGCAACUUCCAAGUAUAUAAUAUAAUUCCAUUGGAAUUUGUACCCUCUGAUCAGCAUCUUCCCAUUGCCCAAACUUUUAUCUUUUUGCUCCAGCAUUGCGCUGGACCUUCUCCUCUUGAAACCCGGAUUUCGCCAAAGGUUCUCUCAUCUGAGGGGGAUUAUUUUUGAAAGUGUUUUCCUGGGGCUGCCAGACUGGCAGAGAGGGGCUGGAGCCAGUUCAGGGACCACUGCAGGGUCCACAGCCACGACCGAGGUCUGUCUGCCUGUUUACCUGAUGUGUGGGUGGGUAAGACUCUUUCCAGGUUCCUUGGCAUCCGGCGCUAUGUCCCACAGCUUUCCGAAGGUACUUCUGUCCAUGAUGGAUGAUGGAGUUUGGGUGGCGGUGGCUGGAGGACACAGAUGACGGAUGUCUUCUGGCAUCACGAUGCUGGCUUCACCCUCCAGAACUUACCUGUUUUAAUGUUAGCCUCAGAUCCUUCUAGUAUGUUUAUUGUUGUCUUUUUCGUGAAUGAUCACCCAUCAUGGAUUGUUCGUUGUUGAUCCUGUCGGAUUUCUUCCUUCACGUGAGGUCUCGCUGUGUAUUUUGUGAUUUUGUACUGUAGGCUCAUCUUGAGUGACCUUGUUUGCUUCCCUCCUGUUUUCCUCUGUCCUCGCUCCUCCCUACGUGCCAGGUUUGCAGCUGGCUCUUCAAGACCCCCCAGUCCAGAACCCAGAUUUCUCGUGUGGGGUCGAGGCUGUUGUUGAUCGUAUCGCACUGAGCCAGUGGGCUGCUCAUCCAAGUUUUCGGUAGAGGCUGUGUCUGGUCCCUCCCGCCUGCCUCCUUAUCCCAUUGUAGUAGAAUCUCAGCUUUCUCAACUUUCUUGCAGAAGUGGGAAAAGACUGUCUAGCUCCUAGGCUCACGCCAUCAUCUUGGCUCUCAUCCCCUUCCCUUCAUGGGGAAUGUUUAGUCUUCAUUUUCUCAUAGGAGCCAAACUCCUGGCCGCCUUUUCUCCGUUCCAGCAGCCUGUUCACCACCUUGGGCUUCUGAUCUCCAGAUACGUUGUCCACGGCAGCCUUUGCAUUGGUGUGGCACAAGACGGGAGGGAAGGACUUUGAUUUUGUGGUUAAAGGAAAGGUUAAUUUCCCCCUGUCCUUCUCACAAGAUAUAAAUAAGGAAGCCUGUGGCUCUGAUCAUUACAGGGAGCCAUCUUAUUGCCGUAAGGAACCAUCUUGUGUGUCCAUGAAGAAAGUCAAUAUUAGGGCAAUGUGUCAAGUAUAGGUACGUAUCUUUUUCAUUUUUAUUUUUUAUAUCUUAUAUACAUGUCUCUUUUGCUUAUAUGCUCGUUAUAUUUUAUCUUUUGUUGCCCUAUGUUUAGAAUAGCAGUAGGGUUUCAAGACAGGUAACUUCUAAUUUUUUUUUUAACAUUUAUUUAUUUUUGGGAGAAAGAGGGAGAC